Molecule: ribosomal RNA, 466 nt
Filed under: uncultured bacterium
Lineage: Bacteria
Description: partial 16S ribosomal RNA
Rfam family: Bacterial small subunit ribosomal RNA
Source: RNAcentral
GAUGAACGCUGGCGGCGUGCUUAACACAUGCAAGUCGAACGGAAAGGCUCCUGCUUGCAGGGGUACUCGAGUGGCGAACGGGUGAGUAACACGUGGGUGAUCUGCUCUGCACUUCGGGAUAAGCCUGGGAAACUGGGUCUAAUACCGGAUAGGACGAUGGUUUGGAUGCCAUUGUGGAAAGUUUUUUCGGUGUGGGAUGAGCUCGCGGCCUAUCAGCUUGUUGGUGGGGUAAUGGCCUACCAAGGCGUCGACGGGUAGCCGGCCUGAGAGGGUGUACGGCCACAUUGGGACUGAGAUACGGCCCAGACUCCUACGGGAGGCAGCAGUGGGGAAUAUUGCACAAUGGGCGCAAGCCUGAUGCAGCGACGCCGCGUGGGGGAUGACGGCCUUCGGGUUGUAAACUCCUUUCGCUAGGGACGAAGCGCAAGUGACGGUACCUGGAGAAGAAGCACCGGCUAACUACGUG